This 219-nucleotide long non-coding RNA is filed under the name Homo sapiens (human). Its description in RNAcentral is "HSALNT0073604". Lineage: Eukaryota; Metazoa; Chordata; Mammalia; Primates; Hominidae. The record is from RNAcentral.
GUUUCUACAAAGAUGAAACUACUAAAACUUACAGGUUUUAUUUUUUUCUUGUUUUUUUUGACUGAAUCCCUAACCCUGCCCACACAACCUCGGGAUAUAGGAACUUCAAUAGUACUCAAAAAUUUAUAGAAGAUAAUAUUGAAUACAUACCAUCAUUGCAUUUGCUCAGUAUGUUCAGGAAGCAACCUUUGAAGAAAUGGAAAAGCUGGUGAAAGACAU